Molecule: ribosomal RNA, 554 nt
Filed under: uncultured marine bacterium
Lineage: Bacteria
Description: bacterial SSU rRNA
Rfam family: Bacterial small subunit ribosomal RNA
Source: RNAcentral
AGUCGAACGGUAACAGAAAAAGCUUGCUUGUUGCUGACGAGUGGCGAACGGGUGCGUAACGCGUAUGCAACCUACCUUUUUCAGAGGGAUAGCCCAGAGAAAUUUGGAUUAAUACCUCAUAAUAAUAUUUUCUCGCAUGAUUAAAUAUUUAAAGUUUCGGCGGAAAAAGAUGGGCAUGCGUAACAUUAGUUUGUUGGUGAGGUAACGGCUCACCAAGACUACGAUGUUUAGGGGUUCUGAGAGGAUGAUCCCCCACACUGGUACUGAGACACGGACCAGACUCCUACGGGAGGCAGCAGUGAGGAAUAUUGGUCAAUGGACGAAAGUCUGAACCAGCCAUGCCGCGUGAAGGAUGACUGCCCUAUGGGUUGUAAACUUCUUUUGUAUAGGAAGAAACCCCUCUACGUGUAGAGGGCUGACGGUACUAUUCGAAUAAGCACCGGCUAAACUCCGUGCCAGCAGCCGCGGUAAUACGGAGGGUGCGAGCGUUUAUCCGGAAUUAUUGGGGUUAAAGGGUGCGUAGGCGGAAUUUAAAGUCAGUGGUGAAAGCCUAC